Molecule: small nucleolar RNA, 135 nt
Organism: Delphinapterus leucas (beluga whale)
Lineage: Eukaryota; Metazoa; Chordata; Mammalia; Artiodactyla; Monodontidae
Gene: SNORA71
Rfam family: Small nucleolar RNA SNORA71
About the family: The members of this family belong to the H/ACA class of snoRNAs which bind a number of proteins (including dyskerin, Gar1p and Nop10p) to form snoRNP complexes.
Source: Ensembl
ACCUGCAUUCAAAAGGUGGCCAUGGGCUGUCCGUGCUCUGGUCGUUGAUAAUGCAGGGAGAGGAAUUGUGGAAAGCAAUUUCCCGUGUUUGGAGGGUCCACACCUGUCCCUUUCAAAUGCUGGCGCUUUCACACA